Molecule: long non-coding RNA, 582 nt
Organism: Ooceraea biroi (clonal raider ant)
Lineage: Eukaryota; Metazoa; Arthropoda; Insecta; Hymenoptera; Formicidae
Source: RefSeq, a predicted model, not a curated record
ACAUUUCAUGAAAUAAGUAAAUUGGAUGUAAUACAGAAAAUAUAUAGAUAUAUUUCGCUCUCCAGCUAUGUAAACGCAAGCGCAAUGGGCAGCUAUACCUUUUCGAUGAAUCAGUCGAUCUUGUACUAUUGAAGCAUAUAUAUCGAUAUAAAACAGUGUGGCAGCUGCAGUACACGUGUUCUUGGCUGUAUCUCAAUAAAUUGGCUGUAUGUCAAUUACUAAUCUUUCACUCAGCUGCUUAUUGUUCAAAUGAGGUUCAUGAAUGCAUAGUAUUUAAAACAGUAAAAUAUGAUAUAGCCGUGGUCAAAAUCUGAAACGAGAAGCUUCCUCUGUAUCGACAGUAAUCAUUAAAAGUUAUCAGGAAGUGUCUCCAACUGCUAAAUAUAUCCAUUACAGUUAUUACUUAUGUUAAUAUACAGGAUCUGUUGAAAAUAAUGCAACCGAAAAUGAAGUAAUUUCUAGUGGGAAAAACUGUGUGGAGGGAGAAAGCAUAAAAUAUUUUUAUAUGAGACUUUCCAAACAAUUAGGUAUGAAAAUUCGUGGAGUGCACAUAUACUUGACUAUCAUGUUUCAAUUCAAAGG